UACAGAGGUGGCAAGCGUUGUUCGGAAUUACUGGGCGUAAAGCGUGCGCAGGCGGCUUUGCAAGACAGAUGUGAAAUCCCCGGGCUCAACCUGGGAACCGCAUUUGUGACUGCAGGGCUAGAGUACGGUAGAGGGGGAUGGAAUUCCGCGUGUAGCAGUGAAAUGCGUAGAUAUGCGGAGGAACACCGAUGGCGAAGGCAAUCCCCUGGACCUGUACUGACGCUCAUGCACGAAAGCGUGGGGAGCAAACAGG
Molecule: ribosomal RNA, 253 nt
Filed under: uncultured bacterium
Lineage: Bacteria
Description: partial 16S ribosomal RNA
Rfam family: Bacterial small subunit ribosomal RNA
Source: RNAcentral